UAAGUUCAUAUGACUAGUCAGAA
This 23-nucleotide small nuclear RNA is filed under the name Arabidopsis thaliana (thale cress). RNAcentral describes it as "snRNA_05531". The record is from RNAcentral. Lineage: Eukaryota; Viridiplantae; Streptophyta; Magnoliopsida; Brassicales; Brassicaceae.